RNAcentral lists this ribosomal RNA (359 nucleotides) under uncultured soil bacterium. RNAcentral describes it as "bacterial SSU rRNA". It matches the Rfam family "Bacterial small subunit ribosomal RNA", at positions 26 to 386 of the family's 1533-position model. The record is from RNAcentral.
AGAACGAACGCUGGCGGCAUGCCUAAUACAUGCAAGUCGAACGAAUGCCCUUCGGGGUGUUAGUGGCGCACGGGUGCGUAACGCGUGGGAAUCUGCCCUUGGGUUCGGAAUAACAGUUGGAAACGACUGCUAAUACCGGAUGAUGACGUAAGUCCAAAGAUUUAUCGCCCAGGGAUGAGCCCGCGUAGGAUUAGCUAGUGGUGAGGUAAGCUCACCAAGGCGACGAUCCUUAGCUGGUCUGAGAGGAUGAUCACGCCACACGUGGGACUGAGACACGGCCAGACUCCGACGGAGCAGCGAGGUGGGAAUAGUGGAACAAGUGGGACGAAAGGCCUAGACUACCGAGACAAGUCGGCCGG